AAAGCUCUCAGCCUUGGUAAGGUGAAGCUGAUCCUUGGUGGGUACUGAGCAGGAGAAGCUUGGUCUUUUAGUGUUGGCAGAGAGUGGAGCAACACAUCUGAUUCUUGUCCACAGAGCCCUAGCUGUAAAUACUAAAGUAAGAAGCACAAAAGACAGAUGCAGAAAAAUAAACCCAAGCCAAGAGAUGAAAUUAUUCUAAGACAAAAUGAAAAGUCUAAAAUGGGAACAGAGAUAUAUAAGUAUCUGAGAAGAAUACAUUAGGAAAAUAUUUUCAAGGUGUUCAUUUUCCAGAGUCUUCUACGCUCCUCCCGACUCCAGAAAAUAAGAAAAGAGUCUUUAUAAUGUAGAUGAACUGCACAUUCCAAGACAGUAAUAUGGAGAAGAGAAAGGUUAAGAAGGGAAAGAAACUUCACAUGAGGAACCAUCAUUUAUCCACUUAAGGAAAUACUGCAGUCAUUCACUGGGAACUGCUUCUAAAAUGAAAGAACAACAACUCUUCCUAGAAAUGGGUGCUUAGAGAAAGUGUGCUUUCUGCAGAAAAUGCCUUCCCCAAUGCAAAUUUUGCUUCAAAUCAUUUUGAAGUGGACCUUAUACUAAACUCUAUCUAGCCUUGGACACCUUGAGCCAAGCAAACAAAACUAUUCAUAGGAGACUAUUGGCUCUGCCUCCAAGCCUGAUGCAGGAACACUGACAUUACCGAUUGAUGAGUGGCAAAGGGCAUCUAGCAUCAGUCUGCUCAAGCCAAAUCGAGUUGUUUGCAAUUCCUGACAGGUCCAACUGCUACAAAAUACUAGCUCCUUAAAUGCUCUUCAUAUAACUUACCUGUUUCCAAAUCAGAGUACAUCAACGUGGUAUUCAGAAAAUAUUUACGAAGGCUUUGUAUGUUUUCCUGAUGCAGAUAAUGCUUAGUAUCUUGUUCUCUAAUAUAAACUUCUUGGCUAAAUUCUCUACCAUCAUUAUUCAAAUACAAGGAGAUUAAAACUGCAAAUUGAAAA
This is a long non-coding RNA of Ornithorhynchus anatinus (platypus), 995 nucleotides long. RefSeq lists it as uncharacterized. The record is from RefSeq and is a predicted model, not a curated record. The transcript is spliced from 3 exons. NCBI's taxonomy places the organism in Eukaryota, Metazoa, Chordata, Mammalia, Monotremata, Ornithorhynchidae.